UUGCAGAUAAAAACACUGAAUGUACUGUGAAAUGUGCAAAUGAAAACUGUCCACAUGGUUUCCUGCAUUUUAAAUGCAUUUCAAUCAAAAGAAAACCCAAACCCCCAUAUUACUGUCCAUCAUGCAGACAUAAGAUGUGGAAGUAAUAUCCACUUGUGAUACUUAACUGUGAUUGAUACAGAUACAAGUUUUUGUUGAGGAUGACCAUGGCAUUGAUAUUUCUGAAAACAUCUUGGAAGCAGACCAGACGUAAUGAAACACAGCAUCUGGUCUGUUUCCUAGCUGUUUGACAUUCAGACAAUAUUUCUUUAUGAAAAUAAAUGGGGCAUAAAAUAUGCAUUGUAGUAUUAUAAAUUGUUUCUUUGAUACUUAAAUAAUAUAUCUUUCCUUUUUAUAAUUUUCAUGAAAGAAUGUAAAUUAUAAAAAUAACUGUGUUUCAGGUAGUCAUUAAAUCAGGUUUUAAAUUUAAGAAUUUCUAUUAAAUCAGUAAUGUAUUAUACUUCUUCUUUUACUUCUGAACAUUUUUAAGCUAAAAAGAUUGUACAUUAUUAGAAUAAUUUACAAACCACUACUAUAAAGUUUUACUUUCAUUUAUACAUGUAUGCAGUGACUUUAUACUAAUUAACAGCUUAAGUUUUAAUCAGUUUUAGUUGCUUCCCACUUCAUGAUAACUGUGAUAUAACAAAUAUUUGGUAUGUGUUAUUUAUGCAUGUAAUAACUGGUAUGAUAUCUUGAAAGUGCAGUCUGAUCAGGAUCCAAACUGUUUGCUAUUCAGUCAGUAAAACAAAGAUGUUAAUCCAAUAGUCUGGAUUUUUAUAAGACUGUGUUUUUAUAAGCAGGCUGAUAUGGAUCAAAACUGGUCGCAUUUGCCACAAGGUCUCUUUUCCUGUGACACUGUAUCAUCAUGCUAUGCACAUGUAUGCCUGUCUCAUCAUUAAUUAAAUGUGCUUUUCUUGCAAAGCUAAGGCCACAUCAAAUUGUUUACUUGUUUUUUUUUUAAACAAAUAUGUAUUUUUUUCUGAAGCAAGCAAAAAAAAAAAAAGAAAUUUAGUUUUAAUAAUUUUUAUAUUUAUGCCAUCAACAAGAUUUAUCCUCCGCUACAGAUGCCAGAAAUUCUAUCGAAAUUAAGCAACAUAUAUGAACAGAAGCAAGCAAACAAAUACUAUAUACAUGCAUAAGAACAUUCUGUUUUCCUUUUCCGAAUAAAUUAGAGCGAGUAUCUUGUUAUCAAUUCGAUGUGGCUGUUGUCUAAUAUAUUAUUCCUUUCAUAUAGCAUGUGCUACUGUUUGCCUUAGUGCUAUCAGCUUAUGGUUUGCAUGUUUGAUGUUAAAUAAAUCUUGAAUAUUUUA
Dreissena polymorpha is the source of this 1349-nucleotide long non-coding RNA. RefSeq lists it as uncharacterized. The record is from RefSeq and is a predicted model, not a curated record. NCBI's taxonomy places the organism in Eukaryota, Metazoa, Mollusca, Bivalvia, Myida, Dreissenidae. The transcript has 2 exons.